AGUCGAACGCGGUUUCCCCGCAAGGGGAAACUGAGUGGCGAACGGGUGAGUAACACGUGGGUGACCUACCUUCGAGUGGGGGAUAACGUCCCGAAAGGGACGCUAAUACCGCAUAACAUCCUGCCUUUGAACAGGCGGAGAUCAAAGCCGGGGAUCGUAAGACCUGGCGCUUGAUGAGGGGCCCGCGUCCGAUUAGCUAGUUGGUGAGGUAAUGGCUCACCAAGGCAACGAUCGGUAGCCGGCCUGAGAGGGCGGACGGCCACACUGGGACUGAGACACGGCCCAGACUCCUACGGGAGGCAGCAGUGGGGAAUUGUUCGCAAUGGGCGCAAGCCUGACGACGCAACGCCGCGUGGAGGAUGAAGGUCUUCGGAUUGUAAACUCCUGUUGCCCGGGACGAAUGGCGCCAACCUAAUACGUUGGCGUGUGACGGUACCGGGUGAGGAAGCCCCGGCUAACUCUGUGCCAGCAGCCGCGGUAAUACAGAGGGGGCAAGCGUUGUUCGGAAUUACUGGGCGUAAAGGGCGCGUAGGCGGCCUGUUAAGUCGAACGUGAAAUCCCCGGGCUCAACCCGGGAACUGCGUCCGAUACUGGCAGGCUUGAAUCCGGGAGAGGGAUGCGGAAUUCCAGGUGUAGCGGUGAAAUGCGUAGAUAUCUGGAGGAACACCGGUGGCGAAGGCGGCAUCCUGGACCGGCAUUGACGCUGAGGCGCGAAAGCCAGGGGAGCAAACGGGAUUAGAUACCCCGGUAGUCCUGGCCCUAAACGAUGAAUGCUUGGUGUGGCGGGUAUCGAUCCCUGCCGUGCC
This 806-nucleotide ribosomal RNA is filed under the name uncultured Bacillota bacterium. Its description in RNAcentral is "bacterial SSU rRNA". It matches the Rfam family "Bacterial small subunit ribosomal RNA", at positions 60 to 847 of the family's 1533-position model. Lineage: Bacteria; Bacillati; Bacillota. The record is from RNAcentral.